This 253-nucleotide ribosomal RNA is filed under the name uncultured bacterium. RNAcentral describes it as "partial 16S ribosomal RNA". It matches the Rfam family "Bacterial small subunit ribosomal RNA", at positions 524 to 776 of the family's 1533-position model. The record is from RNAcentral.
UACGUAGGAUCCGAGCGUUGUCCGGAAUUACUGGGUGUAAAGGGCGUGUAGGUGGGUCUCUAAGUCGAUGGAGAAAUCCUGCAGCUCAACUGUAGAAUUGCCGUCGAUACUGGAGGUCUUGAGUGCGGCAGAGGGAGACGGAAUUCAUGGUGUAGCGGUGAAAUGUGUAGAUAUCAUGAAGAACACCGGUUGCGAAGGCGGUCUCCUGGCCCGUUACUGACAAUGAGGCGCGAAAGCGUGGGGAGCAAGCAGG